This 412-nucleotide ribosomal RNA is filed under the name uncultured bacterium. RNAcentral describes it as "bacterial SSU rRNA". It matches the Rfam family "Bacterial small subunit ribosomal RNA", at positions 505 to 916 of the family's 1533-position model. The record is from RNAcentral.
GUGUCAGCCGCCGCGGUAAUACGGAGGGUGCAAGCGUUAUUCGGAAUCACUGGGCGUAAAGGACACGUAGGCGGAUUGGGAAGUCAGAUGUGAAAUCCUACAGCUUAACUGUAGAACUGCAUUUGAAACUUCUAAUCUAGAGUAUGGGAGGGGGAGAUGGAAUUAGUGGUGUAGGGGUAAAAUCCGUAGAUAUCACUAGGGAAUACCUAAAGCGAAGGCGAUCUCCUGGAACAAUACUGACGCUAAGGCGUGAAAGCGUGGGGAGCAAACGGGAUUAGAUACCCCGGUAGUCCACGCCCUAAACGAUGUUCACUAGUCGUCGGAAUGCUAGUCAUUUCGGUGAUGCACUUAACAGAUUAAGUGAACCGCCUGGGGAUACGGUCGCAAGGUUAAAACUCAAAGGAAUUGGCGG